CGAUGUAAACGGCCUGUGUCAGCAGGCAGCGCCGCAAGAAAGCACGAAAGCUUUACGGAAUUAUUACCGCACACGGCCGACACUCGAACUAUAAACUGAUAAUUGGUUACUUAUAUAAAUCCAAUACGUGGCUAUAUUAUUGUAUUAAACACUCAAUACCUCUCAAAUGUAUUUAUAUUCGCAGUGUCGAUUCAUCAUUCAUAUUAAAUCUC
This is a non-coding RNA of Cinara cedri, 212 nucleotides long. Lineage: Eukaryota; Metazoa; Arthropoda; Insecta; Hemiptera; Aphididae. The record is from the annotation of a GenBank genome assembly.